GACGAACGCUGGCGGCGUGCUUAACACAUGCAAGUCGAGCGGUAAGGCCCUUUCGGGGUACGACGAGCGGCGAACGGGUGAGUAACACGUGGGUGACCUGCCCUUAGCUCUGGGAUAAGCCUGGGAAACGUAGGGUCUAAUACCGGAUAUGACUCCAUGACGCAUGUUGUGGGGUGGAAAGCCUUGUGCGGCUAGGGAUGGGCCCGCGGCCUAUCAGCUUGUUGGUGGGGUGAUGGCCUACCAAGGCGACGACGGGUAGCCGGCCUGAGAGGGCGACCGGCCACACUGGGACUGAGACACGGCCCAGACUCCUACGGGAGGCAGCAGUGGGGAAUCUUGCGCAAUGGGCGAAAGCCUGACGCAGCGACGCCGCGUGGGGAUGACGGCCU
Molecule: ribosomal RNA, 389 nt
Filed under: uncultured bacterium
Lineage: Bacteria
Description: bacterial SSU rRNA
Rfam family: Bacterial small subunit ribosomal RNA
Source: RNAcentral